AACGCACGAGACCUGCGGACCUGCGGAGGGAUCAUUAAUGAGAAGCUGCCCCUCGUGGGUAGACCUCCCACCCUCUGUGAACUUACCUUUGUUGCUUUGGCAGGCCCGUCCUCUGGACCGCCGGCUUCGGCUGGCCCGUGCCUGCCAGAGGAUUCCAGACCCUGUCUGUCAGUGUUGUCUGAGUCUAUAUGAAAUCGUUAAAACUUUUAACAAUGGAUCUCUAGAUCGGAAGAGCACACG
This 240-nucleotide unclassified non-coding RNA is filed under the name soil metagenome. RNAcentral describes it as "partial contains 5.8S ribosomal RNA, internal transcribed spacer 2, and large subunit ribosomal RNA". The record is from RNAcentral.